RNAcentral lists this ribosomal RNA (408 nucleotides) under uncultured bacterium. RNAcentral's name for it is "partial 16S ribosomal RNA". It matches the Rfam family "Bacterial small subunit ribosomal RNA", at positions 28 to 526 of the family's 1533-position model. The record is from RNAcentral.
GACGAACGCUGGCGGCGUGCUUAACACAUGCAAGUCGACAUGAGUGGCGAACGGGUGAGUAAUACGUGGGUAACCUGCCCUCCUUUUUGGGAUAAGCCUUGGAAACGGGGUCUACUACCGAAUAAAGGGGGAUGGGCUCGGGGCUGAUCAGUUUGUUGGUGGGGUGAUGGCCUACCAAGGCGGUGACGGGUAGCCGGGCUGAUCGGGUAACCGGCGACAUAGGCACUGAGAAACGUCCCAGAGUCCGACGGGGGGCGGCAGUUGGGGAUAUUGCACAAUGGGCGAAAGCCUGAUGCAGCGACGCCGCGUGGGGGAUGAGGGCUGUCGGGUUGUAAACCUCUUUCGCUAGCGAACGGUUAGGUGGAGAAGAAGCGCCGGCUAACUACGUGCCAGCAGCCGCGGUAAUUC